AGCGGGGUAAGAUGAGCCACCCCCUGUUUCUAAGAAACAGUAAACAAAUGUGACCAUGUGACCACAUUCAAAGGGGGGCGGGACCAUUUACUUACACUUGUGGAGAGGAGCACCACAUGUCAAACUAGGUGUGCAUGAUGCCACACUCAUACAAAAGAAAAACAGACAGGGCCGCACAGUCCCGUGCAGUUUUGGAGAGAGCCGCAGAGGAAGUCAGGAAAGGCAGGCCUAUUCGGGCUGUGGCGAGGGAUAUGCAUUUGGACAGGAUGACUCUGACUAGGUUCAUUGAAAAGAUAAAGAAUGGAGAGGUAGAGACAGGUUAUACCAAGUUGGUGAAAGUGCAUUUCUUCAUUGGCCAGAUAAUCAAAUUGGAUGUCUUCGAAAUAGAGGCAAGAUUUCUCAAAAGAAGCCGGUCAUGCCAUGGCUCUGCAAGAAAGCCAACCUUUGUCUUCAAAGAGAAAGAUGAGGCUGUCCUGUCAAGACAGGAUAUUGUGAAAAAAUUGCCCCGCCCCUUUACUGUUGGGGGGACAGCACGGAGGGAGAGGCAAAUGGUGUUCCCUUGCAAUUUGAACGCUUGGAACAUUGAAUAAUGAUGAAAUGAUUGAUGGAAUGAUUGCUGCAUGUUUUAGCAAUGUUUUAACCUACUGAAAGAAAUAAGAUUUUUUGGCACUGCUCUACUGUUUUAGUAAUUUCUAUAAUAUAGUAUAUCUCUCAUUCCCUCUCUAACCAUCCCUCUUUCUAUCUAUCUACGCAUAUCUCUCUCUCUAUCCAUCUAUCUAUCCCUCCCUAUCCCAUCUCGUUCUAUCACCUCUCUCUUCAUCUCCCCUUCUCUAUGCAACGGCCCUAUCCCCCACUUGAUUGACUUGACUUGAUUCAUUGAUUGCAUUUCUAAUAAUAAAAGUUGUUUACUUUGUUAACCUAA
Long non-coding RNA from Neoarius graeffei (lesser salmon catfish), 922 nucleotides. RefSeq lists it as uncharacterized. The transcript has 2 exons. NCBI's taxonomy places the organism in Eukaryota, Metazoa, Chordata, Actinopteri, Siluriformes, Ariidae. The record is from RefSeq and is a predicted model, not a curated record.